This 537-nucleotide long non-coding RNA is filed under the name Nicotiana benthamiana. RNAcentral describes it as "long non-coding RNA (NBEN_LNC037697)". Lineage: Eukaryota; Viridiplantae; Streptophyta; Magnoliopsida; Solanales; Solanaceae. The record is from RNAcentral.
CUGCUGUGAAGGAUUAUGUGUCGAAGAACGCAAAGUCAAGUGACAAGGCAGAGAAUGCGUGAGUGGAAAAAGCAGCUUAUGCUUGGUAUAGUAGUUGAAGAAAUAAAAGGCUUCUGGCAACGAAGUUGAGCGUAAGAGUGAUGAUCAGGGAUGUACGUGUAUGAAGUCUCUUGGAUUUUCAUAGAUGUAAAUUGGCUCUAAUGACUGUUUGGUUUGUAAUAGUGAUAUUUAUAGCGAGGUUCGUCCGUCGGUUUUGAAAUACUUGGGUUCGGUAUUUUCUGCAUUUUCAUUUAAAAAGUGUUAUACCAUACUGAAAUGGGCUGGUAUGGUUAGGUUUCACUUUUCGACUUGUGUGACUUUGGUGUUACAUUUCAAAGUUGAUAUUCUGUCAACCAAACUUAUUAUUAUGAUUCAUGGAGUUUUCUCAGAUUCAAGCACGCAAGAAAGAAAAUUAAAAGAGGAUAAAUUAACUUAAAAUUUAAAACGUUACAUUUCAAGAUUUUCGUUCUUUACUUGAAAAGAAAAGUAAAGAAAAAU